UUUAAAAAAGAUUGGUGGUGAAAAGCCAAGAGAACAUGUUUUUUUGAUCAUGUAAAGGUUAUUUUCGAAUCAGUUACAGUCCAAAUUAAAUCGAAAAGGAAAUGGGGAAAAGAUAAGCUUAG
This is a non-coding RNA of Hydra vulgaris (swiftwater hydra), 122 nucleotides long. Lineage: Eukaryota; Metazoa; Cnidaria; Hydrozoa; Anthoathecata; Hydridae. The record is from RefSeq and is a predicted model, not a curated record.